This 430-nucleotide ribosomal RNA is filed under the name uncultured bacterium. RNAcentral's name for it is "bacterial SSU rRNA". It matches the Rfam family "Archaeal small subunit ribosomal RNA", at positions 339 to 776 of the family's 1478-position model. The record is from RNAcentral.
GCGCGAAAACUCCACAAUACACGAAAGUGUGAUGGGGGGAUCCCGAGUGCUCAUGUUUUACAUGGGCUUUUGCCAAGUGUAAAUAGCUUGGCGAAUAAGCGGUGGGCAAGACUGGUGCCAGCCGCCGCGGUAACACCAGCGCCGCAAGUGGGGAUCACAUUUAUUUGGCCUAAAGCGUUCGUAGCCGGCUUAGUAAAUCUCUUGUGAAAUCGUGCGAUUCAACCGCACGGCGUGCAGGAGACACUGCUAAGCUAGGGACUGGGAGGAGUCAGGAGUAUGGAUAGGGGAGCAGUAAAAUGCUAUAAUCCUUUUUAGACUACCGGUGGCGAAGGCGCCUGACCAGAACAGAUCCGACGGUGAGGGACGAAAGCUAGGGGAGCAAUCCGGAUUAGAUACCCAGGUAGUCCCUGAGCGGGCUGGCAAGGCGCAU